GUGCAGGGGGCUCUGCCUGCGCAGCAGCGUUUUCGCACAGAGCGUCUUGGAAGAGAGGAGAGCUGACCCUGGGCUUUCCUCCCGAGUGCGGCCUGAGAGGGAGGGCGGGGCUCGCGCUAAGAAUCAGAGGGUUUUCAUCGCGGCUCAGGCUGCUGAGUUUUACCCUUCUCAAAGGCAUUAAACAAAUGAACUCAUCUAAUCCUAACCACCACCCCAAAUUAGGAAAAAUCAAAUCAAGUUAGCACGCCAGUAAGAUCAUAAAACAAAACUUUACCCACCCAGGGACGAGUCCUCUCCAGAAUUCAGAACCCCUAUCUGAGAAUACAUCUGUUCCUCUGGCAGCAUUCUCUCUUACAAGGUUUCCUUUUAGCUUUUUCUUUUCUUCCCCAUCAUUCUGAAUAUCAAUGGUUUGCAGAUAAUAGCAACUUUGUUAAAAAUAAGAACCCCACACCACAAUGGAUUCAUUCAUCCAUCACUCAUCCAUUCAAAACAUUCCUUGAGCAACUACUAAGUACUGGGUACUGUGCUAGGUGCUGGGGAUUCAGCAAUAAACAAGAGAGAUUGGAUGCAGGUCCUCUUAUAAGUAAGCUGAGUAUUUUUAUUGCCUCUUUUUAUUAAUAGUUCUGAAGAUCUAAUCAAGCUUAAAACAUUCUGCCUGAAAGGUUAUGAGAAUCUUUUUUGCCUAAUUAUUUAUCUAAGACCUACAUUCCAGUCUCCUAUUAGGGAAGUUGAUUUGUAUUUUACUAGACAAAUACAAAUAAUGUUUUGAAAAAAAAAAUAGUAGAAGGAUAGCUAAAGCUAAAAGUUUCCUGAGGAGUCUCUGCUUUAAAUUCUGGUGAGUACAUAGAUCUCAAUAAGAGGAUAUUACCACUGUGGGCUCAGGACAAGGUUCUGGAAGGAAAUCUGGACUUGUUUCCCAUAAGGACACUACAACCACUUUAAAGAUAAAGACAAGGAUGUGGAGCCACUAAAAUGCUGGCUACAUCCCAGUAGACAGCUGGGCUGCUGAGGCGAUGGUAGAAACAGAUAUGGCAGAAUCUGCUGAGAAAUGCAGCCUCACCCCACUUCUCACCCCAGCACCUGCAGGAUGGACAAGGUGAGGCCAGGUAGGUGGCUUGAGUUAAAUUCCAAGUGGUGCUCCUGGAGUCUCUGGCACCAUCAGAUGGGGACCAUGGCGGCCUGCGUAUGGAGAAGAGUGUAAAGGGUGGGGGUCUAGUCUAGCUGUACGUUGACAGGUGCUACUCAUGGAAGACUCUGGCUGAGGAAGAACAGGAGGCAGAAAGGCAAUGGCACCAGGAAGCAUCAGGAUGGGCUGGAAAGCUGGAAUCUGAGAGAGGGGCUGUGAUAGAACAGGUCCCGCUGCAGUAGAGCAGUAGCGGGUCCGGAGGAGGUUCAUUUUGUUUUUGAUGUGAAGUAGGUGCUGAAUCAUCAGAAUAGGAGCUGAGAAGAGUAGUGAGAGUUUUCCAAGGAGGAAGAAGCAUGGAGGAAUGAAACCAAUCUUGUUACACUUUUUAGGCAUUUUUACAAAUUAGUUCAUUUAAUCCUAACCACCACUCUAGGUGAGGAACCUGAGGAUCAGAGAGAUCACACACCUGGCACACAGGCAGCGUGGGGAUCUGAACCCAGUUCCCUCUGACUUCAGAGGGGGUGCUCUUUCCAGCUCUGAUGUGACAGGCAGGAUGCUCCUCCCUCCCCUGGCAUCCAUGACCCCUACCUCACUCCUCAGGGUUCUCCCGUCUUUCCUCUGCCUCUUGUAAUUUACUUUCCUUCUUCUUUGAGUAAUCAUAAUUUACAACAAAUUAUUAAACAAAAUUAAUUUAAAAAGUAGACUAGUUGAAAAUUCUAUAUUCUUCUAAAAAACAAGGCUCCAAUUCUUCUAAAAUUAGGGAAAAAUUGUCUUGUACUUACUGACAUAAAGCCUACUACUCAUUUUUUCUCUCUUUAUGGAUCAGUAUAAUUAAGGGAAACAGUAGGUCAAUGAACACAUGAUCAAAAUAUGGGAGUUGAGAGAUGUAGAAAC
RNAcentral lists this long non-coding RNA (2020 nucleotides) under Equus asinus (donkey). RNAcentral describes it as "lncRNA (ENSEASG00005036162.1)". The record is from RNAcentral. Lineage: Eukaryota; Metazoa; Chordata; Mammalia; Perissodactyla; Equidae.